GUGGGGAAUAUUGGACAAUGGGGGGAACCCUGAUCCAGCCAUGCCGCGUGUGUGAAGAAGGCCUUUUGGUUGUAAAGCACUUUAAGCGAGGAGGAGGCUACCGAGAUUAAUACUCUUGGAUAGUGGACGUUACUCGCAGAAUAAGCACCGGCUAACUCUGUGCCAGCAGCCGCGGUAAUACAGAGGGUGCAAGCGUUAAUCGGAUUUACUGGGCGUAAAGCGCGCGUAGGUGGCCAAUUAAGUCAAAUGUGAAAUCCCCGAGCUUAACUUGGGAAUUGCAUUCGAUACUGGUUGGCUAGAGUAUGGGAGAGGAUGGUAGAAUUCCAGGUGUAGCGGUGAAAUGCGUAGAGAUCUGGAGGAAUACCGAUGGCGAAGGCAGCCAUCUGGCCUAAUACUGACACUGAGGUGCGAAAGCAUGGGGAGCAAACAGGAUUAGAUACCACGGUAGUCC
RNAcentral lists this ribosomal RNA (451 nucleotides) under uncultured bacterium. RNAcentral describes it as "partial 16S ribosomal RNA". It matches the Rfam family "Bacterial small subunit ribosomal RNA", at positions 354 to 796 of the family's 1533-position model. The record is from RNAcentral.